CCUACGGGAGGCAGCAGUGAGGAAUAUUGGUCAAUGGCCGAGAGCCUGAACCAGCCAAGUCGCGUGAGGGAAGACGGCCCUACGGGUUGUAAACCUCUUUUGUACGGGAGUAAAGCGCCUUACGUGUGACUCAUUGCGAGUACCCGAAGAAAAAGCACCGGCUAAUUCCGUGCCAGCAGCCGCGGUAAUACGGAGGAUGCGAGCGUUAUCCGGAUUUAUUGGGUUUAAAGGGUGCGUAGGCGGAGGUGCAAGCUGGCGGUAAAAUUGCGGGGCUCAACCCCGUCCUGCCGUGGGAACUGGAGCGCUUGAGUGCGCGGAAAGCAUGCGGAAUGCGUGGUGUAGCGGUGAAAUGCUUAGAUAUCACGCAGAACUCCGAUUGCGAAGGCAGCUUGCCGGCGCGGAACUGACGCUGAUGCUCGAAAGCGUGGGUAUCGAACAGGAUUAGAUACCCUUGUAGUC
This 459-nucleotide ribosomal RNA is filed under the name uncultured bacterium. Its description in RNAcentral is "partial 16S ribosomal RNA". It matches the Rfam family "Bacterial small subunit ribosomal RNA", at positions 338 to 795 of the family's 1533-position model. The record is from RNAcentral.